This 468-nucleotide ribosomal RNA is filed under the name uncultured bacterium. RNAcentral's name for it is "partial 16S ribosomal RNA". It matches the Rfam family "Bacterial small subunit ribosomal RNA", at positions 28 to 507 of the family's 1533-position model. The record is from RNAcentral.
GACGAACGCUGGCGGCGUGCUUAACACAUGCAAGUCGAACGGAAAGGCCCUGCUUUUGUGGGGUGCUCGAGUGGCUAACGGGUGAGUAACACGUGAGUAACCUGCCCUUGACUUUGGGAUAACUUCAGGAAACUGGGGCUAAUACCGGAUAGUAGCUCCUGCUGCAUGGUGGGGGUUGGAUAGUUUCGUCGGUUGGGGCUGGACGCGGGGCUUAUCAGCUUGUUGGUGGGGUAGUGGCUUACCAAGGCUUUGACGGGUAGCCGGCCUGUGAGGGUGACCGGCAACAUUGGGACUGAGAUACGGCCCAGACUCGUACGGGAGGCAGCAGGGGGGAAUAUUGAACAAUGGGGGGAAGCCUAAUGCAGCAACGCCGCGGGCGGGAUGAAGGCCUUGGGGUUGUAAACCGCUUUCGCCUGUGACGAAGCGUGAGUGACGGUAAUGGGUAAAGAAGCACCGGCUAACUACGUG